RNAcentral lists this ribosomal RNA (377 nucleotides) under Escherichia coli. RNAcentral's name for it is "partial 23S ribosomal RNA". It matches the Rfam family "Bacterial large subunit ribosomal RNA", at positions 1273 to 1652 of the family's 2925-position model. The record is from RNAcentral. Lineage: Bacteria; Pseudomonadati; Pseudomonadota; Gammaproteobacteria; Enterobacterales; Enterobacteriaceae.
CUGGAGGUAUCAGAAGUGCGAAUGCUGACAUAAGUAACGAUAAAGCGGGUGAAAAGCCCGCUCGCCGGAAGACCAAGGGUUCCUGUCCAACGUUAAUCGGGGCAGGGUGAGUCGACCCCUAAGGCGAGGCCGAAAGGCGUAGUCGAUGGGAAACAGGUUAAUAUUCCUGUACUUGGUGUUACUGCGAAGGGGGGACGGAGAAGGCUAUGUUGGCCGGGCGACGGUUGUCCCGGUUUAAGCGUGUAGGCUGGUUUUCCAGGCAAAUCCGGAAAAUCAAGGCUGAGGCGUGAUGACGAGGCACUACGGUGCUGAAGCAACAAAUGCCCUGCUUCCAGGAAAAGCCUCUAAGCAUCAGGUAACAUCAAAUCGUACCCCAA